GGGGAGGGGGGGGGAGGCAGGAGAGAGCUGCAAAGAGGGAGGUCAGAGAGUAUUUCCUAGAAGCGCAGCAAACCAGGGAGCUCAGGAGGUCACCGAGUCCAACCCCUUGCUCCAAGCAGGGCCAGCCCCAGCUAGGUUUGUGUAUGACCCCCCCACUACCACCACCACCUCAGAUUUCAAUUUGAGUCACUUAAAAGUUUGAUAUUUCCCAACUGGUCGGGAAUGGCUGCGCAGGGCUGACCUCACGUCCUGUCAGCUUGCCCCCCCCCCCCCCCAGUUGUUUUGAUGUGCCUGGCAUGAAGCGGAUGAGACAGAUCUAUGGCUUAUUUUAAGAGGGGUGGAGGGGGAGCAGCAAGUUGCCGGAGCUUUUAAGCAAUGUUCCUCUCAUGCCAGGGAUGACUGACUUUGUCGCACGGGGAAAAAGUUCUCAAGCCGGUGUCUGGAUGACUUUGAAUGAUCACUAGCGACUGCAAGUGUGUGUGUGUGUGUGUGUGUGUGUGUGUGUGUGUGUGUGUGUGUGUGUGUGUGUGUGUGUGUGUGUGUGGAGUCCCACCUGACUCGAGAGGUGGGUAAAGACAUUGUACCUCUCUUUUGUGGACGGAAGCUGCUCUAUUUCCCCAGGCAGGAGGAGAGGAGAUGCAAACCUUCCUGGCUUGCUCUCUGUUUCAGGGACCCUACUGCCUGUGAUUAUUCCUGUCAUCUGUUUGUCCUGGCCAGACUGGCAUUUCCCUGUAUUCCCAAAGAGAAGAGAGGCUGGGGAAGAGUUAACACUUCCUUCAACCUUUUAAAAAAUUCUUCGAAUGUUGUCACAUGCUUAGGUCAUCCCCCCACUGUCAGACAUACCAGUCACUCUUGCCCCACCCUUGUCCUCAUGCACUCACAAGGACACCCCAAAGCGAAGAUAUCUCGCUUAACUGGCCGCUCACUUUUUCAGCUGUGAACUCUUUCUGGGGUCAAAGCUGUCUAUUCCUCACCCAUGAGAAGUGCUUGAUAAACAGUAAGAAAAGAAGCAAAUGCUGUGAGGCAAACUGAGUUUCCUUGAAAGGCAAGGAGAGGACACAGAUGCAGGAGGUGGUUGCUCCUGUUAAAGGUCCCUUGCAGGUACCUGAAAGAAGGUACCUACCAGCCCUGACUGAAAAGAUAACUCCAUGGAAAAGACAAGACCUUUGCACAUUGCAUUUUCUAGACCCUCCUUUUGAAUCUCAAGGGGAGUCAGAUGUGUUAGGCACAGGUGCUUCCCUCAUGCAGGACUAGGGGAACCUGUUCCCUUUUUUGCUGAUUAGGUCAUACAGGAGCCUGAGCCACCUACACAUGCUGAAUGUUAUCCAUUGCAAAGUCCCAUUAAAGUCAAGGUAGCUACUCACAGUCAUUUAAUUGAAGCACAUAUGCAAAUUUUGAGACUAUAUUAUCAGGCAAUUAAACAAGCGGCAGAUUAGGGUAUGAAUUCAUCAAUCCUGUGAAGAAUCAUAGAAAAUGAGGGCUGGAAAGGACCUCAGGAAGUAAUCUAAUUUAACCCCCUGCUCAAAGCAACACCAUCCCCAUCUAGAUCACCCCAGCCGACACUUUAUCCAGCUAGGUUUUAAAAACCUCUAAGGAUGAGGAUCCCACCACCUCUCAGGGUAACCUGUUCCAGUGCUGCACCAUCCUCCUAGUAAGAAAGUUUUUCCUAAUGUAUCUAACCUAAUAUCUAAUCUCAAGACUGGUUCAACAACAUGAUGCAACAAAAUGAGCCAGUUGUUUCAAACUGUCCAGCAUUUUCCUGAGAGUUUCUAAUUAAUAUGAAUGUACAACCCUCGUAUCAACCAAAGACUAUGCCAGGAAAGAGUGCACAUUGAAAGUUUACAGGUUCACACUUUAUUUUUCCUGAUACCCUCUAUAUUACUAGAAAUGGUGGAACUUAUAUUCAGUAGCUAGGUUUCCACAGGCCUGAUGCUACUCCUUCCUUCUUACGGUACCAAGCUGCAGGAAUGCUUAAGCAUGAAAGGUAAGAUUAAAAAGAGACAAUAUGUUGCAGGAAUAGAUCAUCAUCUGAAGUUUCUUGUGUUACGUGCCAGAACUGGUCAACUUUUUUCAAAUUUUCUAAUUUUGAUGAAAUGUUAACUUUCUCAUGAUUUACCACCUGUUUAUUUGGACCAAGUACAAAAUUGAUAGAAAUUUGGGGAAAAAAAGAGAGAAAAAAGAAAUUAGAACUCAAACAAACAAAAAGUUCUGAGGAAAGAAAGAAUACUUUUGAGAAAUAUUCAUAAUCUGCCUCUCUCUCUCUUUAAACAUCUUUAUUGCUUUCAUUUCAUGAAUAUGGGGAUCUAUUCUACUUCAGUAACAUCUGUUUUAUUGAAUUCAGUGGGAACUGGAUCAGACCUGGGGCUCACAUUUCUCACUAGUCCAAACUCUCAAAAUACCUUUGAGAGAGGCGCUAAAGAUAAAACAAAAGAAAGAGAAAGCCAUGAAUCCAUUAUUAACAUCAUAUAUGUGUCUAUAUUUUGUUUUAUUCAUAUCACCCAAAAGUCACUUUUAAUCAAAUACUGAUGGUAAGUCUAUUUCUUAGGGUAGUCAAGUGCUGACUUGUGCUUUAUUCCCUGCAUGUUCAAAUAAAGUAACUUCCCUAACCUUCUCCCAAAUGCUUUACUAAUGAAUUAUAUAGCUGCUCUUGGCUUAAAUAUGGCAGUUUUUAAACACUGCUCAGCAACAUUAUACAACACCAUGGGACAAGAAAAAAGAAAUAUUUAGAUCUGAAUAGAACCUGUAGUCUUUAUAAUUGGGAUCAGAUCCUGAGUUUUUUUUUUCCUCAUGCAGUUGAUUCCACUGUGUAACUGAUUAUAGGAUCAAACUCUAGCAAUGGACCAAAAUAAUUAGAAACUAGGAAGACAUGCCAUUGCGAUAUUAAGUAUCACUUCCUGACACAGUAACAAUAGUGUAUACAUUGGAUCCAAUAGAACUACUCAUACGCUAUUACCCCAACCAUAGGCUUCUUUGUUUGCAAGUUUAAUACAUUCUUCCAUUUAAGAAAGAAUAGCCUAUGACUUUUUUGACACUGCCAUGAUUCGAUAUGUUUUCUUUUAGAAUAAUUACUAUAGCAUUAGUGCAAUGCUAUAUUGAUAAUAAUGCCUUUCCUUCAUUUAUGAUAUUAAGUUCCAUAUAUUAAAAUCCCUGUGAAGAAAGGCCAAUCAAUCAAUACAGAAAGUUUUUAUACUCUUGUGAAACCUAUAUUUCACCUUUCUUAGAUAGUUACAUGUUUAAUUCAGCAAAAGGGUAUUUGGAAUUGUGGAAUUAAAACAUAAAGGGUUUCACACACUACUGCUCUAUGUCUCCUAUAGUUACUUAUACCAGAGCAAAGGGGAGGCCAUGCUAAUUUAUUUUUCUGUGAUUUAUUUUGAUUAUAUACAGUAGCCAACCAUAUUUGGCUCUGUUUUAUUAUUUUGUAUUGAGAAUAGAAAAGGCAAGACUUUCAGCAAUGGGAAAAAAAGUAGAAUAUUUACUAUUUAUGGAAAUUCUUCUCAUGCUUACUGGAAUCCCAUGAUACUUUUCAAAACUCAAUGUAUUCAUAUUUAUGGCCACAAUGCAUUCACAAACAUUUAAAUUACAUUUCUUUAUUAAUUCGUGGGAAUUAUUUUUCUGGUCAGGCUUUUAUACCCCGUUGUAUUGAUGCUCAAAACAGCUGAAAUCUCUACCUCAGUGAGUGGAGGUUAUUUUAAUUACUGCUAACUUAUGUAAAGGUAUUCAGAAAAAUUAAUAUAAUUAGACACACAACACUGCAUAACUCUGGGCAUGUCUACACAUCACCAUAUGGUGACAUUACUAUAGCAUCAUGCUUUUGGAAGUACUAAAGUACAGCACAGUACAAGUGGUUACUGAGCUGUGUGCAUGGCACAUGGGUAAAUUUUGCCCCUAUAUUGCCACAGCAGCAUGCUAUACCCAUGGAGUAAACCGUUAUGGUAACAUAGUUGGCAACCAUGUGUAGACACACAUGAUCACUAUGUCUCCAUAGAGCACCAUGCAGCAAUGUAGCACAUUGCUACAUCACCAUAAGGUGAUGUGUAAAGGUGCCGUCCUAGAAAAUUUUGGCAACUAGCUAAGUACAUGAAUUGAACCCAAAGUUUUAAAUCCCAGUUCAGUAUACUGUCCAUCACUGUAUCUUUCCUACUCCCAAAACCUAUCUCCUAGAGCCCAAUUCUAUAUUGCCUAUUCAUGUAAAUCUCCCUCUGUGGCCUCUGUUUAAGCAAGAUGAGAUCUAUAGGUAAAAAAGUGAGUGUACAAAUCUUUAUUUUUUUAUUGAGUGACAAGUAACACAUUUGUAAUCUUUGAAAUAUAAAUCUAUCAGUACGUCAUAUCAAUUUUGUAAUUUUUAACAACACAAGCAAAUUCAUCAUUUUGAAUGUUUUUCAAGAAAAUGUGUUAGAAAAAUUAAGUCAUUUCAGUAUUGAACUAAAGAACACCCAAAUACUUACUGUAUUUUCUGUUCCUUUGCAAAGUUCUAAAAGGUGUACUUUUGUUUUUUCAUAAGGACUUAAUGUAUGGGGGUUUGCAAUGGAGUAAACAGCCAUUCAUCUCUAGGUUGCUAUGGUAAGAUGUUUAAAAGUGUGUAAAGGACUUAGAUGCUUCUAAAAAUCCUAUCCUUAGUUCAUAAAUAACUACACUUAAUGGUUACUGAAAGUAGUUUGCAGUAGCAUCUGAUAUGCAAAAGGAGGAAGGGAAAAUCUGGAUGUGUGUAUUUGUGCAUGCAAUUGUUCCAUCCCAAGUGUAGGAUUUUGCACUUGCCCUUGUAUCCAUGAGAUUGACUGUGGACCAUUUUUCUAGUCUUUUCAGAUCUGUCUGGUUUCUAGUCCUGUCUUCCAGAGAGCCUGCAACUCUACCCAAUGUGAUGUUAUCCACAAAUUUGCUAAACAUACACCCAAAGUCAUCAUCCAAAUCACUAAUGAAGAUAUUAAACAAUACCAGAGCCAUGAGAGAGGUGUUUCAAACUGGAUUCCAUGAGGACCUGUUCCAUAAUCUUUCUAAGUAUCAAGGUCAAGCUGACUGGUCUGUGAUUCCCUGGAUCCUUCUUCUUCUUUUUCUUAAAGGGCACAAUAUUUGCCCUUUUCCACUCAUCCAGAGCCUCACCCAACCUUCAUGUGUUCUCAAAGAGGAUAGAUAAUGGCUCAGAAAUUACCUCAACCAAUCACUACCUCAAGGUGCAUCCAUUCUGACCUUGCUGACCUGAAAGCAUCUAAUCCCUAAUUUGUUCUUCUACUACACUAGGUUGUUUCUCUCCUUCUGUACCUAUGUUGCCAACUGCACUCAUCAUCAGGUAGCCACCCCUCUUUUUGAAGAUUGAAGUAUAAGCCAUUAAAUACUCCUGUAUUCUGAAAGGGUCCUAUGCAUGAAUAUUGCAUGCCUCCUGAAGCGGGGGCGGGAGGGGGGUACAGUGACCAUCCGCAGGCGGGACCAGUGAUGUCGGCAGCACGGACAUGGUGGCAGCGAGCAGGGAGGUCCCACAGGCGGCUGCCACAGUGAGGGGGGUGGUGGUGAGUGCCAGCCAGCAGUUAGCUACCACCUGCAGAUGCUGCUGGUGGAGUUGGUGGCGAGGGAGGGGUGGCAAGCGGCGACUGCCUGCAGGCACCUCUGGCAGCGUUAGUGGCAGCCAAUCUCAGGGGGUGCAUGUGCACCUGUGUGCAUCCCCUACGCAUUGCCAAUGGACCUAUGGUUUCUUGGGUCUUCCUCUUAUUCUUGACAUACUUGUAGAAUUCUUUUUUACUGCCUAUGGAUUAUUGUAGAUGGAUUUACAACUAAACAGAGCUUAGAGUUGGUAUAUCUUUUGCUAUCUAGGAGGAUAUGCUGUAUAUUUAUGCAAUUGUCUAAAUAUUUUUAUUAUGCUAGAAAAAUAUGAAUGAUUAAUUAGUUGUAAAUAAGCAAUGAAUAAACUUUGCACACAGCUUGUAUCAAGCUGCUA
Long non-coding RNA from Alligator mississippiensis (American alligator), 5926 nucleotides. RefSeq lists it as uncharacterized. The record is from RefSeq and is a predicted model, not a curated record. The transcript has 3 exons. Lineage: Eukaryota; Metazoa; Chordata; Crocodylia; Alligatoridae.